AACGCACAUUGCGCCCCCUGGUAUUCCGAGGGGCAUGCCUGUUCGAGCGUCAUUAUCACCCCUCAAGCCUAGCUUGGUGUUGGGGCUCGCCCGCUGAGGGCGGCCCUUAAAAUCAGUGGCGGCGCCGUUAGGCUCUAAGCGUAGUAAUACUUCUCGCUACAGAGUCCUGGCGGUCCCCAGCCAAAACCCCCCAUUUUUUUAUGAUUGACCUCGGAUCAGGUAGGGUUACCCGCUGAACUUAA
Molecule: unclassified non-coding RNA, 242 nt
Filed under: uncultured fungus
Lineage: Eukaryota; Fungi
Also listed under: 1 other name
Description: partial contains 5.8S ribosomal RNA, internal transcribed spacer 2, and large subunit ribosomal RNA
Source: RNAcentral